UACGAAGGGGGCUAGCGUUGUUCGGAAUUACUGGGCGUAAAGCGCAUGUAGGCGGAUCUAUAAGUCAGAGGUGAAAUCCCCGGGCUCAACCCUGGAAUUGCCUCUGAUACUGUGGAUCUGGAGUUCGGGAGAGGUGAGUGGAAUUCCGAGUGUAGAGGUGAAAUUCGUAGAUAUUCGGAAGAACACCAGUGGCGAAGGCGACUCACUGGCCAGUUAUUGACGCUGAGUUGCGAAAGCGUGGGGAGCAAACAGG
RNAcentral lists this ribosomal RNA (253 nucleotides) under uncultured bacterium. Its description in RNAcentral is "partial 16S ribosomal RNA". It matches the Rfam family "Bacterial small subunit ribosomal RNA", at positions 524 to 776 of the family's 1533-position model. The record is from RNAcentral.